AAGUGAGNGCAAGCGGGCAGAUCAUUUUUCCUUNUCCACCGAAUACAUUAGCAUGGGAUAAUGGAAUAGGACCCUGACCUCCUAUUUUCAGUUGGUUUUGUUUACAGCGAGGUUAUAUCAGGGUAAUGAUUAAUAGGGAUAGUUGGGGGCAUUAAUAUUUAAUUGUCAGAGGUGAAAUUCUUGGAUUUAUGAAAGAUUAACUUCUGCGAAAGCGUUUGCCAAGGAUGUUUUCAUUAAUCAAGAACGAAAGUUAGGGGAUCGAAGACGAUCAGAUACCGUCGUAGUCUUAACCAUAAACGAUGCCGACCAGCGAUUAGGAGACGUUGAAUACAAAACACCGCCGUUAAUCCUUUCGGGGGUUAAUGGUUGGUGAAUGACUCCCCUAGCAGC
RNAcentral lists this ribosomal RNA (390 nucleotides) under Acanthamoeba sp. ID18. RNAcentral describes it as "SSU rRNA". It matches the Rfam family "Eukaryotic small subunit ribosomal RNA", at positions 765 to 1087 of the family's 1831-position model. The record is from RNAcentral. Lineage: Eukaryota; Discosea; Longamoebia; Acanthamoebidae.